UACGUAGGGCGCAAGCGUUGUCCGGAAUUAUUGGGCGUAAAGAGCUCGUAGGCGGCUUGUCACGUCGGGGUGUGAAAGCCCGGGGCUUAACCCCGGGUCUGCAUUCGAUACGGGCAGGCUAGAGUGUGGUAGGGGAGAUCGGAAUUCCUGGUGUAGCGGUGAAAUGCGCAGAUAUCAGGAGGAACACCGGUGGCGAAGGCGGAUCUCUGGGCCAUUACUGACGCUGAGGAGCGAAAGCGUGGGGAGCGAACAGG
RNAcentral lists this ribosomal RNA (254 nucleotides) under uncultured bacterium. RNAcentral's name for it is "partial 16S ribosomal RNA". It matches the Rfam family "Bacterial small subunit ribosomal RNA", at positions 524 to 776 of the family's 1533-position model. The record is from RNAcentral.